RNAcentral lists this unclassified non-coding RNA (243 nucleotides) under Hevea brasiliensis (rubber tree). The record is from RNAcentral. Lineage: Eukaryota; Viridiplantae; Streptophyta; Magnoliopsida; Malpighiales; Euphorbiaceae.
GAGAGAGAGAGAGAGAAGGGAAAAGAAUUAUAGGACUAGGGAAUGAUGUGUUAUGAUGUUGAUUAUGAGACAAAAUGAGAAAGAGAAGGGGAAGAAAGCCAAACCAAGUUCUUCUUUCAGAAUUAGAUGACCCCAAAAAUAUUUUGGUAAGUGUAAUUUGUAGCUCUUAAAGGAAAGAGAAUGCAGGGGGGAAAAAAGAACAAAUCGGUAGAUCAAAGAACUGGUACAGUGAAAUGAUUGUUA